GCCAUUCUCCUGCCUCAGCCUUCCGAGUAGCUGGGACUAUAGGUGCCCGCCACCACGCCAGGCUAAUUUUUUGUAUUUUUAGUAGAGAUGGGGUUUCACCGUGUUAGCCAGGAUGGUCUCGAUCUUCUGACCUCGUGAUCCGCCCGCCUCGGCCUCCCAAAGUGCUAGGAUUACAGGCGUGAGCCACCGCGCCCGGCAGCAAAUUUUAAGCCAAGAAAUUGAAUGUUGCCAGAACCCCAGGAACCACCCAGCCUCUUCCCAUAUGACCACUUCCCCACACUCUCCACCUUCCUUACUUCUAUGGUAUUGAUGGAUGGUUGGGUGACAUGGACUCCAGUAUGUGCCAUGAAGGAUACGAAGAUGAAGCUGUCAUGAACUCUGCUCUCGAGAAGCUACUGUCAAAGUUUGUUUUUUUUAAACUUGAUAUAUUUGAGGUAGAAUUGACAAGAUUUUAGUAUUGAUGAAAUAAGAUAAAAGGGAUGGUGAAAUUAAUGAUGACUUUAGCCAAAAUAAUUAAUUCAGGUGGGGAGGAGAGAAGGGGAUUGACUGAAUUCUAGUUGACUGAGGCUUACUCAUAGUGGGAAGAGCUGUGAGCCAUGUACUGUUUUAUUUAUUGUUUUGUUUUCGGGUUUUGUUUUUCAAUACCAAAAGUGGAUAUUCAUGGAGUCUGAGAAGCUAGGAUUAGAAAUGCAGUAUGUGACAGCAGAAUGGCAAUGUCAUAAACCGUCACUGUGCUAGGUUCUAGAAAUAAAAUAUAGUUGAUCCUUGAACAACACAGAUUUGAAGUGCCUGGGUCCACUUACAUGCAGAUUUUCAUCCACUUCUGCCAUCCCUGAUACAGCAAGAACAACACCUCCUCUUUCUUCUCCUCCUCAGCCUUCUCAAUGUGAACACCACAAGGAUGAAGACCUUUAUAAUGAUCCAUCUCCACUUAAUUAAGAAUAAAUAUUUUUUCUCUUACUCAUGAUUUUAUUAAUGGUAUUUUCUUUUCUCUAGCUUACUUUAUUAUAAAAAUACAGUAUAUAAUACAUAUAGCACACAAAAUAUGUGUUGAUCGACUAUUUAUGUUAUUGAUAAGGCUUCCGGUCAAAAGUAGGCUAAUAGUAGCUACAUUUUUUGGCAAAUCAAAGGCUAAUUACUUGGAUCUGAUCACUAUACAUUAUGUAUAUCACAACAUCACUAUGUGCCCCAUAAAUAUGUACAAUUAUUGUGUUUAUUUAAAAUUUGGAAAAUAAAAAGUUACAAAACAUUUUUUUAAAAUUUAAAAUUUAAAAGUUCUAUGUGGAUUUUUGAGUGCAUGGGUAAGUUGUCACCCCUAACCCCCGUGGUUCCAGGAUCAACUGUAGUGUGUAUUCUUACUGACUCAAAAUUCUUUAUAUUUAUCUGCUUCUCCACCACUCGCCACUUCAAAUGAACAAUUAACUUGUCAAAGAUUAUUUUCCUCAAUACACAACUUCCUAUUUCUCACUCUCCCUCAUCUCCUCUUUCUUUCUUCUUGCCUCUUAUUAAAACCCAAAAGUUGAUAAGAAAGUGGAAUUAAAGAUAGAAUUUGUGUAUAAAC
Long non-coding RNA from Homo sapiens (human), 1561 nucleotides. NCBI's taxonomy places the organism in Eukaryota, Metazoa, Chordata, Mammalia, Primates, Hominidae. The record is from Ensembl.